This 85-nucleotide transfer RNA is filed under the name Escherichia coli. RNAcentral's name for it is "tRNA-Leu(tag)". It matches the Rfam family "tRNA". From Rfam's summary of the family: Transfer RNA (tRNA) molecules are approximately 80 nucleotides in length. The record is from RNAcentral. Lineage: Bacteria; Pseudomonadati; Pseudomonadota; Gammaproteobacteria; Enterobacterales; Enterobacteriaceae. RNAcentral also lists the same sequence under 8 other names.
GCGGGAGUGGCGAAAUUGGUAGACGCACCAGAUUUAGGUUCUGGCGCCGCAAGGUGUGCGAGUUCAAAUCUCGCCUCCCGCACCA